Long non-coding RNA from Epinephelus fuscoguttatus (brown-marbled grouper), 287 nucleotides. RefSeq lists it as uncharacterized. The record is from RefSeq and is a predicted model, not a curated record. NCBI's taxonomy places the organism in Eukaryota, Metazoa, Chordata, Actinopteri, Perciformes, Serranidae. The transcript is spliced from 3 exons.
AGCAGCACAGAGGUGGCAUCAUUCAUAUGUGGAUGCAGACUGAUUGCUGGUUGAAGAGUUACACAAUGUGCAGGAUGAUGACUCCAGCUGUGGUCUUUGUCUUGUUGGCUGUUUUAGGACGGACAAGUGGCCAGUGUGAUUCUAAUAUUGCUCGAGGUGGACGAGUGACUCAGUCCUCCGUGUUGGAUGGUGGGGUCCCUGAAAGGGCCAUUGAUGGAGAUAGGGCAAGCGUCUGGAAAAAAGGGUCCUGCACCCAAACAAACUGCCAGACAAAUCCAUGGUGGAGA